RNAcentral lists this ribosomal RNA (405 nucleotides) under uncultured Actinomycetes bacterium. RNAcentral's name for it is "bacterial SSU rRNA". It matches the Rfam family "Bacterial small subunit ribosomal RNA", at positions 9 to 418 of the family's 1533-position model. The record is from RNAcentral. Lineage: Bacteria; Bacillati; Actinomycetota; Actinomycetes.
GAGUUUGAUCUUGGCUCAGGACGAACGCUGGCGGCGUGCUUAACACAUGCAAGUCGAGCGGUAAGGCCCUUCGGGGUACACGAGCGGCGAACGGGUGAGUAACACGUGGGUGACCUGCCCUCCACUUCGGGAUAAGCCUGGGAAACUGGGUCUAAUACCGGAUAGGACCAACUGGUGCAUGCUGGUUGGUGGAAAGUUUUUUCGGUGGGGGAUGGGCCCGCGGUCUAUCAGCUUGUUGGUGGGGUGAUGGCCUACCAAGGCGACGACGGAUAGCCGGCCUGAGAGGGUGAUCGGCCACACUGGGACUGAGACACGGCCCAGACUCCUACGGGAGGCAGCAGUGGGGAAUAUUGGACAAUGGGCGCAAGCCUGAUCCAGCCAUGCCGCGUGGGUGAAGAAGGCCUU